AUGAAGCUGUUGGAGAACUCCAGCGUUGAGGCCAUCAACUCACAGUUGAUAGUGGAGACUGGAGAUGCCCAUAUUAUUGGCAGGAUUGAAAGCUACUCAUGUAAGAUGGCAGGAGAUGAUAAGCUUUAUGUUCAAGCAGUUCUGCCAGGAGGACCAGCCCCAUGUGUUGGAGGCACUGUCCCCACCUCAGACUUCGGACCUCAGUCCCAGCAGACUGAGCAAGAGCCGGGGUGGUAAGGAUGAAAGUCCGCUGAGUGACAAGUGCAGCCGCAAGACCCUCUUCUAUCUGAUCGUCACCCUCAACGAGUCCUUCCGGACAGACUAUGACUUCAGCAGAACCAGAAAUCAUGAGAUCAGCAGAGAGCCAAGCCUCUGCUGGUUGGUAAAUGCAGUCAACUGCAGCCUGUUUUCAGCUGUUUCAAGACUUCAAGGCCCCACAGCCACAGCUGUGGAAUGCAGUGGGUGAGGAGAUCUGCUUAGCUGAAUGUGACAUCUACAGCUAUAACCCAGAUCUAGACUCAGAUCCCUUUGGGGGAGAUGGAAGCCUCUGGUCAUUCAACUAUUUCGUUUACAACAAGCGACUUAAACAAAUUGUCUUCUUUAAUUGCUGCUCCAUCAGUGGCUUCACCUACACACCGUCAGAGGCUGGCGAUGCACGGGACUUGGAACUGGGGACAGCAGAGGUUGAUAAAGAGCAGAGAAGUGGAGGCGGCGAGGGCCGGGUGGAGGAGACCAGCACCACGGAGGAAGACAGGGUUCCAGUGAUCUGUACGUGCUGAGAAGAAGCAGAGGCCUCAGCUUCAUCUAGCUUCGACCAAUGCCUGGACCUGCCUACCCCAGGAGCUCCAGAGCCUCCCCGGAUGCUGGCUAUGCCUUGGCACUGCCCAAGGCUAUACCUGCCCAGACCUUUGGUUUCAGCCUGUGGAUGUCCACUCACGCUGCAGGCUCCCACUGCCCAU
Molecule: RNA transcript, 959 nt
Organism: Mastomys coucha (southern multimammate mouse)
Lineage: Eukaryota; Metazoa; Chordata; Mammalia; Rodentia; Muridae
Gene name: repressor of RNA polymerase III transcription MAF1 homolog
Exons: 2
Source: RefSeq, a predicted model, not a curated record